Molecule: transfer RNA, 85 nt
Filed under: Felis catus (domestic cat)
Lineage: Eukaryota; Metazoa; Chordata; Mammalia; Carnivora; Felidae
Rfam family: tRNA
About the family: Transfer RNA (tRNA) molecules are approximately 80 nucleotides in length. Their secondary structure includes four short double-helical elements and three loops (D, anti-codon, and T loops).
Source: Rfam by way of RNAcentral
GCCUGGGUGGCUCAGUUGGUUAAGCGUCUGACUUCAACUCAGGUCAUGAUCUUGUGGUUCGUGGGUUCAAGCCCCGCGUUGGGCU